UUCGUAGCCGGCUUGGAAAGUUUCUAAUGAAAUCCUGCAGCUGACUGCAGGGCUUGUUAGAAAUACUUCCGGGCUUGGAACCGGGAGAGGUCGAGGGUAUUAUUGGGGUAGGGGUAAAAUCCUAUAAUCCCAAUAAGACCACCUGUGGCGAAGGCGCUCGACUAGAACGGAUUCGACGGUGAGGGACGAAAGCUGGGGGAGCAAAGC
Molecule: ribosomal RNA, 207 nt
Filed under: uncultured euryarchaeote
Lineage: Archaea; Methanobacteriati; Methanobacteriota
Description: partial 16S ribosomal RNA
Rfam family: Archaeal small subunit ribosomal RNA
Source: RNAcentral